Long non-coding RNA from Meriones unguiculatus (Mongolian gerbil), 1143 nucleotides. RefSeq lists it as uncharacterized. NCBI's taxonomy places the organism in Eukaryota, Metazoa, Chordata, Mammalia, Rodentia, Muridae. The record is from RefSeq and is a predicted model, not a curated record. The transcript has 3 exons.
CGUGACUCAGCCUGGGAAAGAGCGAGUGAUCUUGAGACUCAGCAACAGAUGUCACCCAGACCAUGACACAAAAGACAAGGAAACCCAGAACUGCACAUCUCUGGAACACAAGUGAUAAGGCUGCUGCUUACAUGUCUAGAAAAAGCUGACUAGAGAAUGAAACCGAAGAGGUGCAGCUCAGUUGGCAGCAUGAUUGCCUAGCAGCAGGAAAACCUGGCCCAAGCCUCAGCACCCCAGAAGGCAGGUGUGAUGGCCCAAACCUGUCAUUCCAGCACCAGAAGUGGAGGCAGGAGGAUCGGGCGUUCAGGGCCAGCCUGGGACACAGAGGACCACGUCUUUCCCAGUUUCAGUGAUUAAGGGACUUUGCCUUCUCCACUGUUGGGAUUUUCUGGCCUUCCAGGUCUCAUAUACCAGGAUGACCUUGACCCUCUGACCUCCCUAUGUCCACCUCUCACACGCUGGAAUUACAGACCUGCAUCACUAUGUCCAUUUCUGUUGCGCUCAGGAUGAACCCCAGGAACUUGUGAGUGGUAAGCAAACAGCACUAGCUCCAGCCUGCCCUCCUCCCUCCCUUCUUCCCUCCCUCCCAGAGCCAGGAGCACUGGGUACAAGAUUCAAACUCAAGCUGUGCUGCGUGUGCCCUCAGGGACACGCUCCGUGGCACUGCAGGGAUCCAUGCAUUUCCAUGAGUUCUCCUCACCAAGCAGAAUUACUGAGGUAGAGAGGAUGGUCACCAAGACAGGGUGACCCGGAUUUUCCUCUGCAUGACCUUAGGCUUCAGUCCAUCACCAAACUCACCUUUCUACGCAAGGCACUUCCUCUCUCUCAUGAAUCCAAAUUCUCACCCCAGCUCUCUGGUUUGCAAUCUUUAACAUUAAAAGUGUUUGGGAAACGGGACCUCAAAUUAGUCUCGGCUCUCGAAUCUAUGAAACCAUAAGAGCUCAUGAAAUCUGAAUGGGAGAUUUCAAACCAAGACUUCUUUUUAAAAAAUUGUGUGUGUGUGUGUGUGUGUGUCUCACACACGUGUGCAUGGGUGCAGGUGGAUGUGUGUGUGUGUGAGUGCUAGUGGCUGAGAAGGCCAGAAGAGGGCGCUGGGUUCCCUGUUGCUGAAGAUGUGGGUGCUGGGAACGUGUUCUUACACAC